AACGAACGCUGGCGGCAUGCCUAACACAUGCAAGUCGAACGAGACCUUCGGGUCUAGUGGCGCACGGGUGCGUAACGCGUGGGAACCUGCCCUUAGGUUCGGAAUAACUCCCCGAAAGGGGUGCUAAUACCGGAUAAUGUCUUCGGACCAAAGAUUUAUCGCCUUUGGAUGGGCCCGCGUUGGAUUAGCUAGUUGGUAGGGUAAAAGCCUACCAAGGCGACGAUCCAUAGCUGGUCUGAGAGGAUGAUCAGCCACACUGGGACUGAGACACGGCCCAGACUCCUACGGGAGGGAGCAGUGGGUAAUAUUGGACAAUGGGCGAAGGCCUGAUCCAGCAAUGCCGCGUGAGUGAUGAAGGCCUUAGGGUUGUAAAGCUCUUUUACCCGGGAUGAUAAUGACAGUACCGGGAGAAUAAGCUCCGGCUAACUCCGUG
RNAcentral lists this ribosomal RNA (433 nucleotides) under uncultured bacterium. RNAcentral describes it as "partial 16S ribosomal RNA". It matches the Rfam family "Bacterial small subunit ribosomal RNA", at positions 29 to 507 of the family's 1533-position model. The record is from RNAcentral.